AUGCUGGACUUGUUGGCUGUCCCAAAUCCAGGUGAAGAGCUCUGCAGAAAUUACCUGAGGACUGAAUAUGGCACUUUUGCCAAAUUAGGAGGACUCGGCCAGGAGAUUGUGCCAUCCUGGGUGGAUGGAGGAUGGGGGAAAGGCACAAUGCUGUCCAUAACCAUUACUUACUGGCAGGAGGAGGAGCUGGCCCUGCAUUACACUUAAAAUGGAGUUUGAUUCCGGGUGAUGGGUCAGUGGUGAUGAUAUUGCUCAGAUAAAUGCAGGAAAGGAAGGACUGCCCAUCUGAGCUGACCAUGUGGGAGACGUGAGGCCCGGCAGUGCCAGUGUUCAGGUAGGUGGGGCUGGCGGACUUCACCUGGCGCUCAUGAGACUGGGUCAAACGUGAUGGAUGCUUCACAUGGUAAGGUGGGGGCUUAUUGUCCACAAGCUGGGUUCAGGGAAAAACUUUCAUGUGAGGAGAAACUGAAGAGUCUGGUCCAGCUAAUAAGUGAGAUAAUUAAUAAAGGAAAUAUAAUAGUGUAUCA
Molecule: long non-coding RNA, 527 nt
Filed under: Anser brachyrhynchus (Pink-footed goose)
Lineage: Eukaryota; Metazoa; Chordata; Aves; Anseriformes; Anatidae
Description: lncRNA (ENSABRG00000002185.1)
Source: RNAcentral